Molecule: ribosomal RNA, 488 nt
Filed under: uncultured bacterium
Lineage: Bacteria
Description: bacterial SSU rRNA
Rfam family: Bacterial small subunit ribosomal RNA
Source: RNAcentral
AACUAACGCUGGCGGCGUGCCUAACACAUGCAAGUCGUACGAGAAAGUUGGCUUCGGCCGAUGAGUACAGUGGCGCACGGGUGAGUAACGCGUGGAUAAUCUGCCCUUAAGUGUGGAAUAACGUACCGAAAGGUGCGCUAAUACCGCAUAAUGCCUGGCAACAUAAGUUGUCCGGCCAAAGAAGGCCUCUGCUUGCAAGCUUUCGCUAAAGGAUGAGUCCGCGUACCAUUAGCUAGUUGGUGGGGUAACGGCCUACCAAGGCGACGAUGGUUAGCUGGUCUGAGAGGAUGAUCAGCCACACUGGAACUGAGACACGGGUCCAGACUCCUACGGGAGGCAGCAGUGAGGAAUAUUGCGCAAUGGGGCAACCCUGACGCAGCAACGCCGCGUGAGUGAGGAAGGUUUUCGGACUGUAAAGCUCUGUCGAGCGGGAAGAAGUGUACCAUGGCUAAUAUCCAUGAUAUUUGACGGUACCGCUAGGAGGAACG